RNAcentral lists this ribosomal RNA (496 nucleotides) under uncultured bacterium. Its description in RNAcentral is "partial 16S ribosomal RNA". It matches the Rfam family "Bacterial small subunit ribosomal RNA", at positions 28 to 507 of the family's 1533-position model. The record is from RNAcentral.
GAUGAACGCUGGCGGCGUGCCUAAUACAUGCAAGUCGAGCGAACAGACGAGGAGCUUGCUCCUCUGACGUUAGCGGGGACGGGUGAGUAACACGUGGAUAACCUACCUAUAAGACUGGGAUAACUUCGGGAAACCGGAGCUAAUACCGGAUAAUAUAUUGAACCGCAUGGUUCAAUAGUGAAAGACGGUUUUGCUGUCACUUAUAGAUGGAUCCGCGCCGCAUUAGCUAGUUGGUAAGGUAACGGCUUACCAAGGCAACGAUGCGUAGCCGACCUGAGAGGGUGAUCGGACACACUGGAACUGAGACACGGUCCAGACUCCUACGGGAGGCAGCAGUAGGGAAUCUUCCGCAAUGGGCGAAAGCCUGACGGAGCAACGCCGCGUGAGUGAUGAAGGUCUUCGGAUCGUAAAACUCUGUUAUUAGGGAAGAACAAAUGUGUAAGUAACUAUGCACGUCUUGACGGUACCUAAUCAGAAAGCCACGGCUAACUACGUG